Molecule: long non-coding RNA, 6585 nt
Organism: Equus caballus (horse)
Lineage: Eukaryota; Metazoa; Chordata; Mammalia; Perissodactyla; Equidae
Source: Ensembl
AUCCUAGGCUUUCCACUGGGAGCUCUGUUAUUAUUGAUUCUGGCCUUUAGGCAAAUUCCAGUGGUAUCUCAGGGUCCCCAAGUCUGAGAACAAGAUUUCUGUAGGGAUUCUAACUGCCUUUGGCUAGGACACACCCUUUGGCAGGAGUUGUCAGUUGCAGUUUCAGUGUGGAAAGAAAUGAUUUCUCCAUCCCCUGAAAAUUGGUGGUGGCGGUGGUGGCGGUGGUGAUGAUAUGAAUUGAGAUAAUUUGACAGAAGAAUGCUCUUUUUACUUCCUAUCUCCUGGAGAAUCAAAUAAGGCUAAGAGGUAACAUUUGCAAGGUACUUAUUAUGUUCUAGACACAGUGGUUAGCACUUUACAAGCAAUAUAUUUUUUAUCCCUUUUAUUAAGCAAGUGCUGUAAUUUUCUCCAGUUGACAAAUGAGGAAAUCGAUACUCAGAGAGCUUCAGAGAGUUGCUCACUCAGUUAAUAAGAGAUUGUAUUUGUCAAAAUAUUCUAGGUUAUGCUACAGUAAUCAAUAAUCCUCAAAGCCCACCAAAUGGUGCUCAAAUUCCAUGCCUUAAAGCAACAGAAAAUUAUUCCUUAUGUGUACUACUAGCUCAUGUAAUCACUCAAAGACCCAGACUGAGGGAGGCUCCACCAUUUUGAAGCCUCACAAUGUGGGAACGUGGCCCUUGGUUGCCAUGGCAGUGAAGAGAAUGCUGGAGCAGUUAUAUUCUGGAAAUGAUAUACAUCACUUCUGCUUACAGCACAUUGGCCAAAACUUGUCACAUGGUCCUGCCUAAUGGCACACUGGCGAGCUGGUACUCCUCCCUACACCUUGACGAAGAGGUGAACCAAAAUGGCUGACUAAUCAAAGUUACUAUGUCAGAGGCAGACUUUGAGCUCUUCACCACCAUCUGAUACUAUUGCCCUUGAGAAGAAUGAUCUCCUGCUGGAUGAGAGGAUCACAGUGGCUGUGUGGAGCUUCAUUAUUCAUUCUCCUCCAUCCAUCUUAAUCCUACCAUGCCUGUCACUGGAUCCCAAAGAGGCACAAUUAGGACCUCCCCUCAGGAGUCCUUCUGGCCUCUGCCCAGCUCCUAUGCUGUUCAAGACCAAUACUUGAUGCCCAGUGGCCCACGUUUUUUAACCUUUGGGAUUCAUGUGAUCAGCACCCACACAGCUGGGAAUCACUGAGUCACAGGCUGAGCAGCUGCUUGCAUCUUUUCUGCCUGGAAACAAGAUUUGUAGGGCAGAGUGGAUCUGCCUCCCACCCUUCUGGCAGGCUCCUGUGGCUCUCGGCAUUCCUGCUGCAAAGCCUUGUGAAGCACGUCUUUAACUUCUCAGAGAAGUGUUUAACAAAUGUCACCAUCCAGAGCUGACAGGCACAGUGGUCUUAGACCUGGAAGCCUCAGAUAUGAACAUCUUGGCAGGAAUCUCCAUCACGUUUCUGGAUAUGGGUUUGGAAUGUGUUCACCGACCUGCCCUUUACAAUUCAUUGAUUUUUGGGUUUGUUUACUUUUUCAACUCAUUCUCCAGGCAAGACGCAGUUUCUUCCUCCAGGUAAGAUGCAGUCAACAGCGAGAGAGGCUAAGAAGAGUCCAAGGGAAAGAUGUGUUUGCAAACAUUGCUUUUGGAUAGAACACUCUUUUUCUAGAACAAGUAGAGAAAGAGGGAGUUUAAAAAGUCAACAUAAUACCGAUAGGAGACAAAUAAUUGAACACAAAGAAAACAGAAUUUAUCCUUGAAACUGAAAGAACAGCAUACCUCUGGAAGUUACCUUCUAUAGGAAGCAGCAGGAUUAAAACAAACACAACUCUUUGUUCCUCAAUCUUCUCCUUUUAACCUAGUCUUUCCUCCUGGUUUUUUCAUUUCGUUUCAUAGAGUCCAAGUUGUUUUUAUAUCCUUUGUGUAGAGCAAAGUCAAUGAACAGAGAACAUAAAGGAUAUUAAAGAAAUAACUGCAAAGAAACAGAACUUGGAGUGCUAGAAAUGUCUUUCUUGGAGAUGGUAAAGAAUGGAAUGGACACUGUAGAAAUGGAAUCAGUAAUGUCGAACAACCUGAAGAAACUCCCAGAAUGGAGAGAGAAAGCUUAAAGAGAAUGAGAAAAGAGAAAAAGGAAAAUGACUGAUAUGGAGGAAAGAGAACAAAGACCCAAUAAAAGAAUUAUGGACAUGUUUUUAUAGCAGAAAACAAAAAGUCCACUCAUUAAUGAUUAUUGGUGUAAAAAUCAUCCAUGAAAAUGGUAGUAAAUUGCGCUCCUGGAACAUCAAUCCCUGGUUAAUAAAUUUCAAAAUUCUCAAUUCAAAUAAGAAAUUAAGAAUUUUUUGAGCCCGAUUAUGAUAAAUACUAAAAAAUUUUCCUAAAAAGAUACAAAGUAAGAUUUGGAUAGAUACUCCUGGCCAGAAGAUCAGAUGGUGUAAAGAUAUACAUUCUUCCUAUGUUAUAUCAUGAUUUAAAUAGUUUUAAUAAAAAUCCUAACAGUAUGGGCUAAAGCAAAUCUAACAUUUGAAAAAGUGAAUCUAACAUUUAUCUGGAAGCAAAAAUGGUGCAAGUAGCCAGGACAUUUUUUUUAAGAGCUAUUAUAAUAGAUUGUAAUCAAAACAGCAUGGCGGUGGUAGAACUUGAUAGGCAGAGAAUGCACCGAGAAGAUGUCCCAGCAUUAUUUAAUGAUUCUUUCUCCUCUAAUUUCGAAUGCCAAAUUUAAUCAUAAACUCACUCUUCUAUAUAUAUACUAAAGUCUAUUUUUGGGAUAAGUGGUUAACAAUAUGAAAGAAAGUUGGCAUCCUUUCUCAAAGCAUACACCACAAUACAAAGACCAAAAGGACUAAAUAGUCAAAUGCACAAAAGGAAGCCAAAAUAAAAUAUGGAUGGCUGUAUCUCUGAUCUUGAGCUUGGUUUAGUUUGUCUAUGUAUAAUGAGAUGGGGAAAAUUUUAUUCACCACAAUUCCACUUAUGAAUGGAACUCAUUUGUGGGAGAAAGUUCAUGAAGUAGAAAGGGAGACAGUAGAGGGUCUGAGUAAUAAACAUUGCUCUGUGGGAGACAAGAAGAAUUUCCCUGAUACUCUAACAAAGAAAGGAGAAGGGAGACAAAGGGAAGCAAAAGGAAGUAAAACAAAGGAAGCCAUCAUGAUGUGUGUGGAGGGGAAGAGGAAGUAGUGUCUAGAAGCAACAAGACGUUGAACUGUUACCAACUGCCAAAUUGGAGUCUGGGCGGGUUUUCAGCAGUCUCUAUAGGGCAGGAGGUGCCCGUCAAGGAUCUGGGUUAAAUGAGUGUAAAAGCAGUGGAGGAAAUCUCGAAGAGGAGCAAUUGGCAGAUUUUCUAACGUCAGAUUAGAAAUUUUUGUACAUCAGGGUUUAUAAACUACAAGGGAUCAAAUCUGGCCAUUCCCUUGAGUUUUUGUAUUAUCUGUCUCUGUUUUCCAGCUACCAUGGCAGCAUUGAGAAGUCGUGAUGGAGAACAUAUGGCCCACAAAGGCUAAAAUAUUUACUAUCUGGCCCUUUAAAGAAAAACUUUGCUAAUCCAAGCUCUACAUAAAAAAUAUCACAAUUAAAAGGCAAACUCAGAGAGGCUGGCCUGAUGGCAUAGCGGUUAAGUGCACGUGCUCUGCUUCAGCGGCCUGGGGUUGGCAGGUUCAGAGCCUGAGUGUGGACCAAGCACCGCUCGGUCAAGUCACACUGUGGCGGCAUCCCACAUAAAAUAGAGGAAGACUGGCACAGAUGUUAGCUCAGUGACAACCUUCCUCACCAAAAUUAAAAAAAAAAAGGCAAACUCAGAAACAAAAUGAAAUACUUGACACAAAUAGACUAAAGCAAACAAUAAUACCCUAAGUCUGCAAAGGGCUCUUUUAAAUUUAUUGAAAAACAGUCAGUUGGCAAUAGGCAGAGGACAUGAAUAGACAGUUCGUUGAAGAAAAAUACAAAGGUAUCAACACAUGAACCAAUGGAAGUCUGGCCUCACUAGGGAGCAAUCAAGGGACAGUGGAAUCAACCACAAUCAUGCCACAGUGUUUGGAGUAAGGAUGUUGUGAUGUGGACAGCUUCCCAUACUGUCGGUUGGAACACAUUAGAACCCUAAAAUAACGACACAAAGGUUACACCCUUUGAUCCAGAAAUUCCACUUCUGAGAAGCUAUCUUGAGAAACUAUUUGCAGAUACAAAUAUGUAAAGGUGAGAAUAUUCACUGAAGUAUUAAUAUCCCUAGUUCCACCUCUUACUAGUCACCAAACCUCACUAAACCUCAGUUUCCUCAUCUGUGAAAUGGGAAUUAAAAUAGUACCCAAUCGUAGGGCUGUCAUGAAGAUUCAGCGUGAUGGUACAUGUAAACUUUUUAGGAAGAAGACCUCUUACAUAGUAACAACGUAGCAGAUCACAACUACUUUUUAAAAGUAAAAUAAUAGAGAAAAGGUAAGUAAAUACUGGUAUAUCCUUAUAAAGGAAUGUUAUCAGCCAUUAAAUUAACGAGUUUGAGGCAUAUUCAUAUAGAAAAAGUUAUAGUGAAAAUAAAUCAGAGUACAAAAUUGAAUAUAUGAUAUUAUUCCAAUGAUGAACAGAAAAUCCAUAAAUGCAUGCAUAUGCACAUAAAAGGAUUGGAAAGAAAUAUAUCAAAUAUUGAGAAUAGCCUCUGACUGGCAGAAAUGAGUUGACUUUAUUACUUACUGCUUUUAGAAAUUAUUCUAAAUAUUAUAUUUCACAAUCAAGCAACAAACUAAACAUUUUCUAAUAUAAAUUAGAAUAGGUAGGGAAUAACUAAAGAAUUACCUAUGUUGAGGCAAGAAAAAAAAUACUAACAUAGGUUGACUCUUUUAACUAGGAAAGUGUUGCGUGAGAAGCAAGGUCCGAGGUCAGAGGACAUCAGUCUUUUGUCUAAUUUCAGGCCAGUCUCCUAUGUGUAAGAUUUGCAUGAAGAGUGGAAAAGAUGCAAGGUGAGGGUCUGUGUUGAUUCUAAUUCUCUCAUGUUACAGGCUUCUCCUCCUCUGUUUCAGAAGCGAGGGGUCUGCAGACUACUCCCCUCUUUAUCUCCACUAGAGUCCUGUCAUUCCUCCAGGGUCCUCCUGGGGAAAUUUACCUGUCUCCCCCAUGUUCCUUUAUCCCACUCCUUCCCCCAAGUACACCUUGAGCCUGGUGCCUUCUCCAUGCUACCUCACUAACCUCCCCCUCUUCCAUCCUUAGGACACUUCCUUGGAUUCAGCCUUCCCAGGCCAACUUGCCAAAUUAAUGAGGAAUAAAGCUUCCGUCUACUCAACAGCUACCACCCUCUUCCCAUGGAUCGCGACUGAAAUGUGGUACUGCUGCAAUGCCAUUCACGGCCUGGGAUAAAAAGAUGAGAAACUGAGGCCUGGAGAAGGCCCCACAGAUGGUUGAGGAGAGCCAGAUCAUGAACCAACAUCAUGGCACAUCUCGCCUGAAGAACCCACACCAGUUCCAGAGCCUUCAGGAAGUCCUUCCCAUCUACUCACUUCUUCCUGCCUCCAGUGGUUCUGGAAGAAUUCAGAGAAUGCCUCAUUUGCAGGGCUAAAAGAAGCCUAUGGAGGCUUCCAUUCCUGUCCUGGGCAUGUAGGCACAAACAAGAGUCAUCUCUACCCCCAGUAAGAAGGGUUACUGCAUAAGUGAGCACAACAGAAGAGAAGCCUGCCCAAGGCCUCCCCAGAGAUUUGGCUUUCUGCGUCCUGAAAAUUGGUUUCACCUAAGCCAAGAAACCAGUUAUCAGAUGGGAAUGGCAUUCUGUCAUCCCAGCCUGGGUCACCAGACGCCUAGAGGUGAGAGUCUUUGGGACAUAUUUCCCUGAUUAAACCAUCAUGGCAUCCUUCUGACAUGUAAGUGUGGAAGAAAGGAAUGUGUUACCGGGACCCAGUGAACAAAUCUUUUUAUAGCAUGACGUUGGACAUGAGGAUGUGGAUGCCUGAACACUAACAACACUUCAGUAAAGAACUAUCUUCAGUAGAGGCCCUCCCAAAUGCCAUCCCACAGUGACACAGAGGGAACAGUCUGAAGAAACUGCAAAGAGCUGCAUUAUUUGUAAGCAGAAAGUGGGAACCAGUUUGUAUCACAGCUGCUGAGGACAGAACAAAAACAAGUGGGCCUGAGAAGAUCAGAAGGAAAUAUGGGCCAACGGAGACUGCAGACUCUCUGUUUCCCAUUGUAGAUUUUUAAAACAUGAUAGUUUCUUCUAUCUGGGGAACUAUUUAAUUGUGGUCACUUUUGAAGGCAGAAGCCUAGUCUCCAGUUGGGGGAAUGGGACCAAUAUGGAUAAUAUAGCUUAAUCUGAUGCAGUCAAGAAGGGGUGGAGCAAGGAAAUGAAUAUUUAUUGAUUGUCUAUGAUGUGCUAGUCAUUUUUCAAUCAUUGACUUAUUUAAUCUUCCAAACCACACCAGGAGGUUGCUAUGACUAUCUCUCCCUUUCAAAACAGGAGGAUGGGGCUCAGGAAGCUAAGGGAACCUACAACCAAGGAGAGGUGGGAAGCGGAUCAGGGCUUUGAAGUCUUUUCUUACUAAGAACAAGGACAACCCCCAACCUCAGAUGCCAAUCAGUACAAUUAUGUUAUGAAAUUAAAUAUUUUCUUAAAAAGAAAAAGCAAGGAGGCAGCCUCUGGUAUAUAGUUUAUCU